This 104-nucleotide ribosomal RNA is filed under the name Cavia porcellus (domestic guinea pig). The record is from RNAcentral. Lineage: Eukaryota; Metazoa; Chordata; Mammalia; Rodentia; Caviidae.
ACCUACUGCCAUAGCACCCUGAACAUGACCUCCGAAGCUAAAUGGGCCAGGCCUGGUUAGCAUUUGGCUGGCAGUUUACCUGGGAAUACCAGCUGCUGUAGGCU